GUCGCAAGGCUGAAACUUAAAAGGAAUUGGCGGGGGAGCACCGCAACCUGAGGAUUGUGCGGUUUAAUUGGAUUCAACGCCGGAAAACUCACCAUAGCCGACGGACAUAUGAAGGUCAGUGUAAUGAACUUACCCGAUUGUUCGAGAGGUAGUGCAUGGCCGCCGUCAGUUCGUACCGCAAGGCGUUCUGUUAAGUCAGAUAACGAACGAGACCCUCAUCUCUAUUUGCUAACCAGAUCUCCGGAUCUGGUGCACUAUAGGGAGACCGCUGGCGCUAAGUCAGAGGAAGGGGAGGGCAACGGUAGGUCAGUAUGCUCCGAAUGCUAUGGGCUACACGCGCAAUACAAAGGACAGGACAAUGGGCUGCUGCUCCGAAAGGAAUGAUAGCUAUCCCGAAACCUGUUCGUAGUUCGGAUUGAGGGCCGUAACUCGCCCUCAUGAAGCUGGAUUAGGUAGUAAUCGCGUCUCAAAAAGGCGCGGUGAAUAUGCCCCUGCUCCUUGCACACACCGCCCGUCAAA
This 519-nucleotide ribosomal RNA is filed under the name uncultured archaeon. RNAcentral describes it as "bacterial SSU rRNA". It matches the Rfam family "Archaeal small subunit ribosomal RNA", at positions 840 to 1357 of the family's 1478-position model. The record is from RNAcentral.